CAGUAGCCACGGGAAUACGUAGGGGGCAAGCGUUAUCCGGAAUUACUGGGUGUAAAGGGAGCGUAGACGGUUAAACAAGUCUGAAGUGAAAUGCCGGGGCUCAACCCCGGAGCUGCUUUGGGAACUGUAGAACUGGAGUGUCGGAGGGGUAAGCGGAAUUCCCAGUGUAGCGGUGAAAUGCGUAGAUAUUGGGAGGAACACCGGCGGCGAAGGCGGCUUACUGGACGACAACUGACGUUGAGGCUCGAAGGCGUGGGUAGCAAACAGGAUUAGAUACCCGCGUAGUCCCUGUCUCUUAUAC
Molecule: ribosomal RNA, 301 nt
Filed under: uncultured bacterium
Lineage: Bacteria
Description: partial 16S ribosomal RNA
Rfam family: Bacterial small subunit ribosomal RNA
Source: RNAcentral